Molecule: RNA transcript, 1150 nt
Organism: Teleopsis dalmanni
Lineage: Eukaryota; Metazoa; Arthropoda; Insecta; Diptera; Diopsidae
Gene name: protein ABHD11-like
Exons: 3
Source: RefSeq, a predicted model, not a curated record
UUUUUCAAAUCAAAAAUUUAAAAUGAUAUCAGUUGAACAUUUUUGAAAAAAUCGUGACUUUGGCAACUCUAAAAACUUUGACAUUUAAAUGCCAUUAAAAAUAUGCACUCGAAAUUUUAAAUCAAAUUUAACACCAGUAAAAAUGGCCUAUAAUGUCUACGAAGGACCUAAUACUGACAAAACUUUGCCACCAUUGGUCGUGAUGCACGGACUUUUCGGUUCAAAACAAAACUGGAUGUUAGUAUGUAAAAAGCUGCAAAUCAAAAUUAAACAGCGAAUUUACGCCGUUGAUGCCAGAAACCACGGCGAAAGUCCACACAUAAAUGAACAUAGUGCGGCGAAUAUGGCAGAAGAUGUGGCGGAAUUUAUACGUCAAGAAGGUUACGCAAGAGCUUCAGUAAUGGGACACAGUAUGGGUGGCAGAGCAAUGAUGUACUUAGCUCUACAACGUCCCGAUUUAGUGGAACGUGGAGUUAUCAUUGACAUAUCUCCACUUUCAAUGCCUUCCAGUCUACCUGAGUUAGAAAGCUUAAUGCUUACCAUGAAAAAUAUAUCAAUACCGAAAGAUUUAUCUAUAGCACAGGGACGAAGAAUGGCUGAAAAGGACUUACAAGCUAUAAUAAGUCCCUAUACUGCUAGCUUUCUAAUGCUGAAUUUUAAAAAACGUGAAUCUGGUGAAUUUUAUUGGACGUCUAAUAUAGACGCAUUACUCAAUAAUUUACGAAAAUUUUCGGAAUUUUCAGAGCAUGUAAACAAUUUGAAGCCAUUCCCAAGACCAAUGCUUUUUGCUUGUGGCACACAUUCAGCUUUCAUGGAUCCUGAGAGUUGGCCAGCUGUUCAAAAAAUAUUUCCGAACUCGAAACUAGAUUGGCUGGACACUGGUCAUAUGGUGCACUUGGAGGAGCCAAUGAGAUUUGCAAAUGUAGUAGCAAAAUUUUUAAAUACACCAGCUUAAAAGUUGGUAUUAGAUUGUUUUGUAGUAAAAAUGGAAAGGAAUGGAACAGGAUUUGUCUGAUUUGUCUGAUUUGUCUUACAAGCAAAGUGAACACUAUCCUUUCAUUUGGAUAAUUGAAGUAUUAUUAUGAUAUAUGAAAUAGCGAAUCAUGAAUUUAUAAAAUGUUUUCGGUUAGACUGCUUUCAACGCGGCCGU